Molecule: long non-coding RNA, 610 nt
Filed under: Cricetulus griseus (Chinese hamster)
Lineage: Eukaryota; Metazoa; Chordata; Mammalia; Rodentia; Cricetidae
Description: lncRNA (ENSCGRG00015036211.1)
Source: RNAcentral
GUGAGUGUAAGACUUGAUACUGGGAAAGAUGUCAAAAAAAAAAAAAGUAAAUGGACCAAUGACCAAAUCCUGGUCAACUCUGCCUGUCUCUAAUGGACAGUAGUUUGUAGGAAGCAAGAGCCUUUUGAACAAUGAACAUCAGAAGAGAUAUUUUCAUUAUUUCCAUCCUUGCAUUUAGGCCCUACCAUCCUUCAGUAUGCCUGUCUUCACCUCCAUAGCAGAUGGAAUCAGUACCAAUUAGAAGCCCAAGCUUUAGUUUGGGGAUCCCAAGUCCUGGAUUAGGCCCUGGUCAGAGGCAAAAUAUGUUCUGAGAGAAGAGAUUGGGACAGCAGAUCAGGACCCCAGUCUCAGAGCAUCAGGCUGAAUCCUGCAUGGAAGACGGUCAAUGAAAAACCAGUGCGUAGACUGCCAUCUACUGGACAACCAGAAAACAAACUGCUGAGUCGCCCUAGGACCUUGAGCAACAAAGGCAAAAAGGCAAAAUUAUGAAUACAUCAGUGGAACAGACAGGAGCAUGUAGGCACAACAAUGGUCCAGUUUGAAAUGAUUAUUUGCAAAAGAGUGUACAUUUCUACUUUCAAUGUUUGUACAGAGUCACUGGAGUUAUGAC